AGAGUUUGAUCCUGGCUCAGAACGAACGCUGGCGGUAUGCUCAACACAUGCAAGUCGAACGCGAAAGUCCUUUCGGGGGCGAGUAGAGUGGCGCACGGGUGAGUAACGCGUAGAUAAUCUACCUUUUAGUUUAGGAUAACCUUGCGAAAGUGGGGCUAAUACUGGUUAAAACUUAUUUGCAAAAGUGAAUGAGUUGAAAGGAGCAAUCUGCUAAGAGAUGAGUCUGCGUAUCAUUAGCUAGUUGGUGGGGUAAAAGCCUACCAAGGCUACGAUGAUUAGCGGGUCUGAGAGGAUGAUCCGCCACACUGGAACUGAGACACGGUCCAGACUCCUACGGGAGGCAGCAGUGGGGAAUUUUGCGCAAUGGGGGAAACCCUGACGCAGCAAUACCGCGUGAGUGAAGAAGGCCUUUGGGUUGUAAAGCUCUUUGUCUUGGGGAUGAUAAUGACAGUACCCAAGGAAUAAGCACCGGCUAACUCCGUGCCAGCAGCCGCGGUAAUACGGAGGGUGCAAGCGUUGUUCGGAAUCACUGGGCGUAAAGAGCACGUAGGCGGUUAUACAAGCUAAGGGUGAAAUUCCAGGGCUCAACUUUGGGACUGCUUUUAGAACUGUAUAACUAGAGAAAGUUAGAGGCAGAUGGAAUUCCUGGUGUAGAGUGAAAUUCUUAGAUAUCAGGAGGAACACCGGUGGCGAAAGCGGUCUGCUGGAGCUUUUCUGACGCUGAGGUGCGAAAGCAUGGGUAGCAAACAGGAUUAGAUACCCUGGUAGUCCAUGCUGUAAACGAUGGAUACCAGCUGUUUGGACUUAGACCGUCCAAGUGGCGCAGCUAACGCGAUGAGUAUCCCGCCUGGGGAGUACGGUCGCAAGACUAAAACUCAAAGGAAUUGACGGGGGCCCGCACAAGCGGUGGAGCAUGUGGUUUAAUUCGACGCAACGCGAAGAACCUUACCUGGAUUUGACAUCUCCUGCUCGCAUUAGAAAUAAUGUUUUCUCUUCGGAGACAGGAUGACAGGUGCUGCAUGGCUGUCGUCAGCUCGUGUCGUGAGAUGUUGGGUUAAGUCCCGCAACGAGCGCAACCCUUGUCCUUAGUUGCCAGCAUUAAGUUGGGAACUCUAGGGAGACUGCCGGUGUUAAGCCGGAGGAAGGUGGGGAUGACGUCAAGUCCUCAUGGCCCUUAUAUCCAGGGCUACACACGUGCUACAAUGGCGACUACAAAGAGCAGCUAAACCGUGAGGUCAAGCGAAUCUCAAAAAGGUCGUCCCAGUUCGGAUUGCAGUCUGCAACUCGACUGCAUGAAGUUGGAAUCGCUAGUAAUCGUAGAUCAGCAUGCUACGGUGAAUACGUUCCCGGGCCUUGUACUCACCGCCCGUCACACCAUGGGAGUUGAUAUUAGCAGAAAAUGCUGGGCUAACCUUCACAGGAAGUAGGUGUUCAAGUUAAUAUUGAUGACUGGGGUGAAGUCGUAACAAGGUA
This 1473-nucleotide ribosomal RNA is filed under the name metagenome. RNAcentral's name for it is "bacterial SSU rRNA". It matches the Rfam family "Bacterial small subunit ribosomal RNA". The record is from RNAcentral.